RNAcentral lists this transfer RNA (73 nucleotides) under Chloroflexota bacterium. RNAcentral describes it as "tRNA-Ile". It matches the Rfam family "tRNA". Rfam says of the family: Transfer RNA (tRNA) molecules are approximately 80 nucleotides in length. Their secondary structure includes four short double-helical elements and three loops (D, anti-codon, and T loops). Further hydrogen bonds mediate the characteristic L-shaped molecular structure. tRNAs have two regions of fundamental functional importance: the anti-codon, which is responsible for specific mRNA codon recognition, and the 3' end, to which the tRNAs corresponding amino acid is attached (by aminoacyl-tRNA synthetases). tRNAs cope with the degeneracy of the genetic code in two manners: having more than one tRNA (with a specific anti-codon) for a particular amino acid; and 'wobble' base-pairing, i.e. permitting non-standard base-pairing at the 3rd anti-codon position. The record is from RNAcentral. Lineage: Bacteria; Bacillati; Chloroflexota.
GGGCCCAUAGCUCAGCGGUUAGAGCGGCCGGCUCAUAACCGGUUGGUCCCUGGUUCGAAUCCAGGUGGGCCCA